UUUCGCGCUCACAUUUCAGGUGCUUUCAAGGUUUCGUUCUUGAAGGUUAAACGGGAAGCUGGUGCGUUUCAGUCGAAUGCAACAAAGCCAGCACUGCCCCCGCAACGGUAAAUGAGUUAACCAUCUGCAAUAGGCCACUGUGUCAUCACACGGGAAGGCGCAGAUGUGGAAUCGCUUCCACUCAUGAGUCCGGAGACCGGCCCGAAGUGAAUAUUUCUA
RNAcentral lists this non-coding RNA (219 nucleotides) under Pseudomonadota bacterium. Lineage: Bacteria; Pseudomonadati; Pseudomonadota. The record is from RNAcentral.